UGAGGAACAUGACCUUCGGCGGGGGAUAGCCGGCCCAACGGCCGGGUAAUACCGCGUACGACCUUCCGGGGACAUCCCUGGAUGGUGAAAGCAGCAAUGCGCCGAUGGAGUGCCUCGCGGCCUAUCAGCUAGUUGGUGAGGUAACGGCUCACCAAGGCGACGACGGGUAGCUGGUCUGAGAGGAUGGCCAGCCACAUUGGAACUGAGAUACGGUCCAGACUCCUACGGGAGCAG
RNAcentral lists this ribosomal RNA (234 nucleotides) under uncultured bacterium. RNAcentral's name for it is "partial 16S ribosomal RNA". It matches the Rfam family "Bacterial small subunit ribosomal RNA", at positions 118 to 347 of the family's 1533-position model. The record is from RNAcentral.